This 188-nucleotide unclassified non-coding RNA is filed under the name fungal sp. RNAcentral describes it as "partial internal transcribed spacer region". The stretch from base 1 to 46 matches the Rfam family "Eukaryotic small subunit ribosomal RNA", at positions 1786 to 1831 of the family's 1831-position model. The record is from RNAcentral. Lineage: Eukaryota; Fungi.
AAGUCGUAACAAGGUUUCCGUAGGUGAACCUGCGGAAGGAUCAUUAUUUGAUUCGAAAUUUGGGGUAUUAUAUGCCUCUUAUUUUCACCGUGAACUGUCUUGUUGUACUAUUGUUGUAUUUUUAUAAAGCAUUCUUCGGAAUUUGCAUCAAUUAAAGACAACUUUCAGCAAUGGAUCUCUUGGCUCUC